CCUGCCCAGGAAGCACACUUAGUUCAUAGAUUAAGCCAUGCAAGUGUUAGUUCAGGUAACGAAACUGCGAAUAGCUCAUUAAUACGCUCAGAAUCUAUUUGGCGGCGACCAACAGGUCUUAAAUGGAUAGCAGCAGCAACUCUGGUGCUAAUACAUGCGAUUGUUUCUCCAGAUGUGAAUUAUGGAGGAAAAGUUGACCUCAUCAGAGGCACGCCAUUCGACUGAGUGACCUAUCAGCUUGUACUUAGGGUCUUUACCUAGGUAGGCUAUCACGGGUAACGGGCGGUUACCGUCGGACUGCCGGAGAAGGCGCCUGAGAGAUAGCGACUAUAUCCACGGGUAGCAGCAGGCGCGAAACUUUCCCACUCGAGACUUUCGGAGGAGGUAAUGACCAGUUCCAUUGGUGCCUUUUGGUACUGUGGAUAGGGGUACGGUUUUCCACCGUACCGAAACCUAGCAGAGGGCCAGUCUGGUGCCAGCAGCUGCGGUAAUUCCAGCUCUGCGAGUUUGCUCCCAUAUUGUUGCAGUUAAAACGCCCGUAGUCUGAAUUGGCCAGCAAUGGUCGUACGUAUUUUUACGUUCACUGUGAACAAAUCAGGACGCUUAGAGUAUGGCCACAUGAAUGACUCAGCGCAGUAUGAAGUCUUUGUUUUCUUCCGAAAACAAGCUCAAUGAGAGCCAUCGGGGGUAGAUCUAUCUCAUGACGAGUGGUGGAAUACUUUGACUCAUGAGAGAGAAGCUGAGGCGAAGGCGUCUACCUAGAGGGUUUCUGUCGAUCAAGGGCGAGAGUAGGAGUAUCCAACAGGAUUAGAGACCCUGGUAGUUCCUACCUUAAACGAUGCCGACAGGAGUUUGUCAUUUGUUAAUGGCAGAAUCUUUGGAGAAAUCAUAGUUCUUGGGCUCUGGGGGAACUACGACCGCAAGGCUGAAACUUGAAGGAAUUGACGGAAGGGCACACCAGGGGUGGAGCCUGUGGCUUAAUUUGAAUC
RNAcentral lists this non-coding RNA (989 nucleotides) under Trichomonas vaginalis G3. RNAcentral's name for it is "Eukaryotic small subunit ribosomal RNA". It matches the Rfam family "Eukaryotic small subunit ribosomal RNA", at positions 13 to 1201 of the family's 1831-position model. The record is from Rfam by way of RNAcentral. Lineage: Eukaryota; Parabasalia; Trichomonadida; Trichomonadidae.